AGCGAACGCUGGCGGCAGGCUUAACACAUGCAAGUCGAACGGGCGUAGCAAUACGUCAGUGGCAGACGGGUGAGUAACGCGUGGGGACGUGCCUUUUGGUUCGGAACAACCCAGGGAAACUUGGGCUAAUACCGGAUAAGCCCUUACGGGGAAAGAUUUAUCGCCAAAAGAUUGGCCCGCGUCUGAUUAGCUAGUUGGUG
RNAcentral lists this ribosomal RNA (200 nucleotides) under uncultured bacterium. RNAcentral's name for it is "partial 16S ribosomal RNA". It matches the Rfam family "Bacterial small subunit ribosomal RNA", at positions 29 to 254 of the family's 1533-position model. The record is from RNAcentral.